UCUGAGACUAGGGCCAGUAGUGGCUCUGUCAGGGAUCUCCCUGAGCUUCUGGGAAGUGAGUUUCCAGAGAACAGGGCUCCAUGUGAGGGUUUAACUGAACAACCCUUUGCUAAAGGAGAUGUGUCUGAACAUGGAUUCUUCAGCCAUUUCAGUGGAAGUCAGGAUUGGAAAUGCAG
This 176-nucleotide small RNA is filed under the name Choloepus hoffmanni (Hoffmann's two-fingered sloth). Its description in RNAcentral is "Nuclear RNase P (ENSCHOG00000015611.1)". It matches the Rfam family "Nuclear RNase P", at positions 72 to 221 of the family's 301-position model. Rfam says of the family: Ribonuclease P (RNase P) is a ubiquitous endoribonuclease, found in archaea, bacteria and eukarya as well as chloroplasts and mitochondria. Lineage: Eukaryota; Metazoa; Chordata; Mammalia; Pilosa; Megalonychidae. The record is from RNAcentral.